This is a long non-coding RNA of Armigeres subalbatus, 894 nucleotides long. RefSeq lists it as uncharacterized. Lineage: Eukaryota; Metazoa; Arthropoda; Insecta; Diptera; Culicidae. The record is from RefSeq and is a predicted model, not a curated record. The transcript is spliced from 2 exons.
UCAGCAUAUUGGGCAUUAUAAUUACAGGUUGUUAGGUGCCUAACAUGAUAACAUCGAAAAAUGCAUUUCAAGGGAAUUGUUUCGUAGAAAGAAUCUUAAGUAUGUAUAUUAAGAAAAAGUAUAAGGCAUCUGAAGACAAGAGUCUCGGACCAGCAUAUGUAAUAUAGUUGUCUAUAAAAGUGGUUAAUCGUUUGCGUCUGUUUCUUGGAGUACUGUAAUCGCCCCUGAUUCUGCGCAUUUUUAACACGAUGUCACGAAACAUUGCAGUAAUCUCUAAAUUAUUUGUCAUAAGACGAGUUUGUACAAUCCCAUUGAAGUCGAGUCAAGUACGAGACACUGAAGACGGCCUUACUGUUGAGGUCGAAAUACGUAUCUGUCAAGAUACAAUUAAGUGGUGGAAUUCAAUGGGAUUGUACAAACUCGUCUUAUGACAAGUAAAGACAUUCCACUAAAAAGCUCAAAAUAAUUUUCUUAAUUUUUAAUUCACGCAUGGGCGGUCGUCGUAACUAACAUCAACGACGGACUUUCUAUCAGCUAUUAAAAGCGAGCAAGAUGGUCAUUCAAGCGAAAGAAGAUUUAUGGAUCGUCCGUAGCAUGCGUAAUUGGCGUCGUGCAGUAGUGGGCCGAGCGGAGUGAAGAGGACUUUAACGUACUGCACACAGACCACUUCGGUUAAAGUCUAAAGAACACAAUUGAUAUUAAAAUAACAAAUGUGAAUUAUAAUUCGUCCAAUUAUAUACCAAACCAUGCAUGAAUAUUCCAGGAAGAUAAAUUGGAUGUUUCAAGUUGAUAAGAAAACACAAUUAACAGGUUCAACAUUCGUGUGCUUUUGAACGACACUCUAACAUAUUGGUUUUACAAGUUGGAAUUAAAUACUAUUUAGUUUAAAAUGUA